Non-coding RNA from Cricetulus griseus (Chinese hamster), 1492 nucleotides. The record is from RefSeq and is a predicted model, not a curated record. NCBI's taxonomy places the organism in Eukaryota, Metazoa, Chordata, Mammalia, Rodentia, Cricetidae.
GUUCUGGGGAUUUGAACUCAGAUCUACAUGGUUAUGCAGCAAGCAUUGUUACCCGUGGAUCCGUCUCCCCAGCCCACCCAGGCAAGUGGUUGCUUCAGCAGCACCUUUCUGACAUAUCUUAAUUGUCACAUGGAGGUGACCUGAGAAAAUGCCAGCUCCAAAACAAGAGACUGAAGCGUGUGGUCAUGAGCUGGGAGAAGCUUCAGUGGGCGUGACAUUUCAUCUUGGAACACAGAGUCACCUCUGCGGAAUUAUUUCACCAAGAGGCUCAUGCCGGAAGUGUAGGAUCUACAUCUCAUGAUUCAGCAUGAACAAGUGCAGAGGGGACAACUGGCAGCAGACACUGACUCAGGGGAUAGACAGUGUGGCUCAGCACCCAAAGCAGCCUCUGUAGGACUAGCAGGGAAGUCAGACUGAGCAGGAAACCCCAGCUACCAAGGCAGAAAGAAAGAAAGACACCAUGCUGAGCUUCUCUGGGAAGAAAGCGCAGGGUGGACCCUUAGCUGCCUGGCCACUCACAAGCAAGUCCUCUGCUCUGGAAGCAUCUGGUCACUCACCAGCCACCCCACCCAUAUCCUAAGCUGUGCGCAGGGCUCAGGUCAAAACUCUGUCGUGACUCUGCAUUCAGAGUUGUUUUACAAAUCGUCAGACCUGGGGAACAUCUCAGACAAAAAGUGGGACUUCUGCUCAGAAGGCGUGAGGACUGUCAAAACAUAAGUCCCCUAAGAACCCAGAGGAUAACCAUAGAAAGACUGGAGUGCACACAGGGCCAGACCUGUGUCUACAUCUUAGAAGGCUGUAAGUCUGAAGAGUUCUGUGUCCUCUGUAUCUAAAGAGGACAUUGCCACAUGGGAAACUUACAGAGGGCCAAGGAGAGCCAGGAUAGUAUUGGGGUUGCUGAUGUGAAAGACUUGGCCCAGAAGAUUCUGCAGAAGCUAGACCCCAGAGGGGCAGUGUGGUGCCUUCUCUUUGAAGCUCUUCAAACAUGGGAAGACCCCAGAGAACCAGACAAUUCCCUCACUGAGAGCCCCUUCCUGGAUUCCUGAUGUUCGGAUGAGCCAGCUUCCUGUUUCAACCACCCGCUGCCAUGCUCCCCAUCGCUACUGACUUAACCCUCUGGAACUGUUAGCCAAAAUGAACUUUCUUCUUUAAGUUGCUUCUAGUCAUGACAUUUCAUCACAGAAAAGUACCUAAUAAUCCAGGUCAUAACAAAACCCAACUGAACUAACUAGGAGUAGGAUGAGCCUGAGAACACCUGAGCCCUUCAGCCCCUAUUCCCCAGCUUUAUCCAUUAACAGUGUAAUAGUAACAUUAUAUGGGAUGAAGAUUGCCAUGCUGCAGUCAGGGAUUGGUGUAUUAAAGUACAUAAUGAUGUGAAUUGCUUCUCCUCCCACCUCUGCAGAGGUUUCUACGAAUGUUUGCCUUGUCUCCUCUGUUGACAAAGAAAAAUUUUAAACCUAUAAACACAAAGGAAGGUGUAGGGGAAGCUGUA